Molecule: long non-coding RNA, 577 nt
Organism: Malania oleifera
Lineage: Eukaryota; Viridiplantae; Streptophyta; Magnoliopsida; Santalales; Ximeniaceae
Exons: 2
Source: RefSeq, a predicted model, not a curated record
UCUUUUUAUUUCUUUCUUCUUUCCCAUAGAUUUUGCCUUGUUUCUCCUUUUUCCAGAUCUCUCCCUUUUCUCUUUGUUUUCUCUUUAAUCUCUUCUUUUCUCUCAGUUUUUCUUCCUUCUCUCUCCUUUUUCUACAAAUCUCUCUGCUUCUUCUCUCUCUCUCUCUAUAUCUUUCUUUCCCCGAUCUUUCUAACUCUUUCUUUGUCUCUUUCUUCUUCCCCAGCAAAUUUUCCCCUCUUUCUCUCCUCUAUUUUUUGUAGAUCUCUCUACUUAUUCUCUCUCUUUUUCUUUCUCUUUCUGUUUCUUUCUUAAUUUUUCAUCCGAUCUUUCUAACUCUUUUUUUUUUUCUCAUUUUUCUUUUUUACAAGUUUAGUGAACCUUGCAAAGAGCAAAGAACAAGAGCUCUCUAUUAAAUCCUUGGAAUCUCCAAACCAGUAGAUCCACAAGGGAAUCCAAAGGUACCGGCAUAGGGAAUUGGAGUCUCUGACCUUUUUUUUAUUUCAUUCUUUUUUUUCUAUUUUUCUUAUUAUAAUGUAAAAAAAUAAUUCAAUUUCCCUAUAUAUUUUUUUUUAUUUCU